RNAcentral lists this ribosomal RNA (542 nucleotides) under uncultured bacterium. Its description in RNAcentral is "bacterial SSU rRNA". It matches the Rfam family "Bacterial small subunit ribosomal RNA", at positions 59 to 601 of the family's 1533-position model. The record is from RNAcentral.
AAGUCGAGCGAAGCACUUUGCUUAGAUUCUUCGGAUGAAGAGGAUUGUGACUGAGCGGCGGACGGGUGAGUAACGCGUGGGUAACCUGCCUCAUACAGGGGGAUAACAGUUAGAAAUGACUGCUAAUACCGCAUAAGACCACAGCACCGCAUGGUGCGGGGGUAAAAACUCCGGUGGUAUGAGAUGGACCCGCGUCUGAUUAGCUAGUUGGUAAGGUAACGGCUUACCAAGGCGACGAUCAGUAGCCGACCUGAGAGGGUGACCGGCCACAUUGGGACUGAGACACGGCCCAAACUCCUACGGGAGGCAGCAGUGGGGAAUAUUGCACAAUGGGGGAAACCCUGAUGCAGCGACGCCGCGUGAGCGAAGAAGUAUUUCGGUAUGUAAAGCUCUAUCAGCAGGGAAGAAAAUGACGGUACCUGACUAAGAAGCACCGGCUAAAUACGUGCCAGCAGCCGCGGUAAUACGUAUGGUGCAAGCGUUAUCCGGAUUUACUGGGUGUAAAGGGAGCGUAGACGGAUGGGCAAGUCUGAUGUGAAAAC